GCGGAAAUGGAGGCGAAUCUCUAAGAUUUCCACUGAUAUUUCUCUUAUCAACAGUCUUGAUGAUGGCUGCCUUAUGCAUAUCUUCAGUUUUCUCUCCCCAAUUCCAGAUGGCGAUUCUUGGCAUGCCAUCCUCGGCUUUGGUUGCGAGUAGACCGUGCUGUGAAGGAUUUAUCUCAGCCUGGAGUUUAUCCGAACAUUGAGAUGGCCGUCUCUGCUGCAAGGCCUGGCGACACUAUACUGAUUGCUGCAGGAGGCAGCCAUCAUGUGUCAAAUAUUCAGAUUGAAAAGCCACUU
Molecule: unclassified non-coding RNA, 294 nt
Filed under: Hevea brasiliensis (rubber tree)
Lineage: Eukaryota; Viridiplantae; Streptophyta; Magnoliopsida; Malpighiales; Euphorbiaceae
Source: RNAcentral